CAAAGUUGGAACGGUUGUUGAAAUGUGCCUUCGUACAAUUGCCUACUUAACCUCUUGUGGAUUAUAAUAUAGCAUAUAUUUAGGGUUUGAAGUCGCCAACGGGUCAGCAUAGUGUUUCAGACUUGGCGUCUUCAUCAAUAUUUCCGACAUCGUUCAAAAUAUUUGCUUCACCACUCUCCGUCUCGUCUUCCUAAAAUGCCAAUGUAACAAAAUCCAAAUCGAGUGAUCGCGUCAGCCACGGAGCAGAGAUGGGGUGCAUCGUAUCAGCCAUAUUGAACCUCCCUCGAAGACUGCCACUUACCAUCCACGGCUAAUA
Molecule: long non-coding RNA, 316 nt
Organism: Varroa destructor (honeybee mite)
Lineage: Eukaryota; Metazoa; Arthropoda; Arachnida; Mesostigmata; Varroidae
Source: RefSeq, a predicted model, not a curated record